Molecule: ribosomal RNA, 482 nt
Filed under: uncultured bacterium
Lineage: Bacteria
Description: bacterial SSU rRNA
Rfam family: Bacterial small subunit ribosomal RNA
Source: RNAcentral
GAUGAACGCUAGCGGCAGGCCUAAUACAUGCAAGUCGAACGAUACCAGAGAGCUUGCUUUCUGGGAAAGUGGCGCACGGGUGCGUAACGCGUAUGCAACCUACCUUAAUCAGGGGGAUAGCCUCUCGAAAGAGAGAUUAACACCGCAUAAAAUCACACUUCGGCAUCGAAGAAUGAUCAAAUAUUUAUAGGAUUAAGAUGGGCAUGCGUGACAUUAGCUAGUUGGUAAGGUAACGGCUUACCAAGGCUACGAUGUCUAGGGGAUCUGAGAGGAUGACCCCCCACACUGGUACUGAGACACGGACCAGACUCCUACGGGAGGCAGCAGUAAGGAAUACUGGUCAAUGGGGGCAACCCUGAACCAGCCAUGCCGCGUGCAGGAAGACGGCCCUACGGGUUGUAAACUGCUUUUAUACGGGAAUAAAUCUCGCUACGUGUAGUGAGUUGAAUGUACUGUAAGAAUAAGGAUCGGCUAACUACGUG